AAGCGGGAGUAUAAUGUGCGGGCUAAUCAAAAAAACAGAGCCUGCCGACAUCCGCCAGGCUCCAGAGUACACACAGCAGUGCAUCCUUACUUAUUCCCACAAUGGUCGUCCCUGAGGGGGUUAAUUAAGUUAUAGCAGCUAAUUUAUAUAAUUCCAACAAAAUGAACAGUUGUUUUAA
This 178-nucleotide unclassified non-coding RNA is filed under the name Enterobacter sp. kpr-6. RNAcentral's name for it is "IS061 RNA". Lineage: Bacteria; Pseudomonadati; Pseudomonadota; Gammaproteobacteria; Enterobacterales; Enterobacteriaceae. The record is from RNAcentral.